Molecule: ribosomal RNA, 491 nt
Filed under: uncultured bacterium
Lineage: Bacteria
Description: partial 16S ribosomal RNA
Rfam family: Bacterial small subunit ribosomal RNA
Source: RNAcentral
AGUGAACGCUGGCGGUAGGCCUAACACAUGCAAGUCGAACGGCAGCACAGUAAGAGCUUGCUCUUACGGGUGGCGAGUGGCGGACGGGUGAGGAAUACAUCGGAAUCUACUUUUUCGUGGGGGAUAACGUAGGGAAACUUACGCUAAUACCGCAUACGACCUACGGGUGAAAGCAGGGGAUCUUCGGACCUUGCGCGAUUGAAUGAGCCGAUGUCGGAUUAGCUAGUUGCGGGGUAAAGGCCCACCAAGGCGACGAUCCGUAGCUGGUCUGAGAGGAUGAUCAGCCAGACUGGAACUGAGACACGGUCCAGACUCCUACGGGAGGCAGCAGUGGGGAAUAUUGGACAAUGGGCGCAAGCCUGCUCCAGCCAUACCGCGUGGGUGAAGAAGGCCUUCGGGUUGUAAAGCCCUUUUGUCGGGAAAGAAAAGCAGCAGGUUAAUACCCCGCUGUUCUGACGGUACCCAAAUAAUAAGCACCGGCUAACUUCGUG